Molecule: transfer RNA, 72 nt
Filed under: Leptospiraceae bacterium
Lineage: Bacteria; Pseudomonadati; Spirochaetota; Leptospiria; Leptospirales; Leptospiraceae
Description: tRNA-Arg
Rfam family: tRNA
About the family: Transfer RNA (tRNA) molecules are approximately 80 nucleotides in length. Their secondary structure includes four short double-helical elements and three loops (D, anti-codon, and T loops).
Source: RNAcentral
GCCUCGGUAGUUCAACGGAUAGAGCAUCAGUCUUCGGAACUGAGAGUGGGGGUUCGAUUCCCUCCCGAGGCA